UUAUUUAUAUCACUACUCUCUGUCUCAAAGAUUUUUACAAUUUGUGUGCGAUGCAAAAAUCAUUAGAAAAUGUCAUAUUCCUUACAAUGGCAUUUAUCUACAGAGGUCUCCACGUACAAUACAUUCUGCUCUACAAACACAAGUGGAGCCGUCGUACGACAUGUUCAUAACAGUAGCAAUUACUGGAGCACAGUAAGAGCCACACUCCGCAUAUUUGGAUCGAGUGGAUUUCUUGUUUUUACUGACCAAGACUGGAUGAAAAUGAAUACAAGCUUCUCGCAUUGCCCAGCCCCGAAAUUGCCUGGCACUGAACAGGUCACACCCGUGGCUUGUUAAUGCGUGGCGAACUUGAAGAUAUUCAAGACAGCCGCUAAAGAGUAAUACCGACAAAUAAAAUAUACUUGCGCC
Molecule: long non-coding RNA, 408 nt
Organism: Dermacentor silvarum
Lineage: Eukaryota; Metazoa; Arthropoda; Arachnida; Ixodida; Ixodidae
Exons: 3
Source: RefSeq, a predicted model, not a curated record